This 127-nucleotide small RNA is filed under the name Marmota monax (woodchuck). The record is from RNAcentral. Lineage: Eukaryota; Metazoa; Chordata; Mammalia; Rodentia; Sciuridae.
GCUGGGUGUGGUGGCACAUGCCUGUAAUCCCAGCAGUUUGGGAGGCUGAGGCAGGAGGAUUGUGAGUUCAAAGCCAGCCUCAGCAACUUAGUGAGGCACUUAGCAAUUCAGUGAGACCCUGUCUCUA